Lolium perenne is the source of this 3784-nucleotide non-coding RNA. Lineage: Eukaryota; Viridiplantae; Streptophyta; Magnoliopsida; Poales; Poaceae. The record is from RefSeq and is a predicted model, not a curated record.
GAGCUGGAGAUCUGAGCCCCCGGUGCUCCCCUUCUUCCUCCUUGCUCCAAAUUAUCAUCAGCGAUCAACCGUGAUCCUGACAGGCCGUCUCUCUCCGCCGCAUCCCCGCCGUGCGCUCCCCUUGCGCGGCCCUGGCGGCGCACUCGAUCUCCGUCUCUACGACACCGCUCACCGUGGAGGCCCUAUGCUCCUUCACAGCUCACAUCCUCGACCCGCCCUCCCGCGACGUGACCACCACCCCGCGGACGCCGUCCCGACAAACUUCCACCUACGGACUACGGUCCCUCUCGCUUUGUCCUUCACAUCUGUGUCGAACGCGACCCCCUCUCACCCCCCUUUUCUCCCCCGCGAUGCCGCCACUGCUCCGGCCGCCGCUGGCAGCUCCUGGCGCGGUCGUACGCCAGCGCGGCACCGCGCCCGCCUCCUACACCGUAUCCCCACCAGCGCCACGCGGCUCUGCCUCAAGCGCGACGCCGCGGCUAACCCUAGCUUCGCGGCUGGAGUUCGCCGAUGCGUCUCCGGCACCCACCACUCGCCUGCGUCGCCCCGCCACGGACGCCUCCACCGGUUCCACGCCACCGCCCUAGCACCAUGCCUCCUUGGUGCGCCCCGCGGCAACUCUAGCCGCAUAGGCUCGGGCUGUCAGCGCUGCUUCCCGCUCCAACCCCUCCGGCUGCACCCUCGACGCCCCCGAUCUCCUCUCCGUCAGUAUCGCCCUUUGGUGCUCCUACUGCCGUGGCAGGCUGCGGUUGGCCUGACCCCUUCUUCGACUACCUCGCUGUCUCCCUCGACUACAUCCAUGGCUACACCUCCACUUUAGAUAAUGAUGUACUGAGCAAGAUUAUUGUUGGGAAGAUUGGGUAUGUACGAUCAAUACUAGGAUUGGCGCCUUGACACUGAUAACAUGAAUUACGAGGUAGCACUCCCAAGGGAAAUAACCACUGGGAAAUGCUUUCUUCAACAUUACAUAGUCUAUUCUGGCUUUACAAGAGGCCAUCUGCAAACUGGAGGGUACGUAGACUAUGUUACAUGUGCACUGGAUUAGUGACUUGCUAGAAUUUUUAUAAUGAUUUUCAUUGUUGAUUAGUUUUCACGCUGAUACUUUUUGUAUAUUUCCUAUGGAACUUUUCAUUGUUAAUUAGAUGUUAAUACCAAAAAAAAAAUUGUGGCACUGGCACUAUCACAGUUUUUACUCAUUUUGCUAUAGUUGAAAUUUUUCUUGAAACAAACUACCAAUCCGUACAACGAUGAUUGUGGAGGGUUUUCUCUGUUAUGUUCCUGUUGUUUGGUGCGACUGGUCUGAAUGGGCUAACCUGAGCUUGUAGAAGUGGUUUGAAUGGCUGAUAGGAUAGAAUUGUACCUCUCAUUUUCCCAACCUUAUAGAAUUUAGAGAACAGGAACGUUCCUCCAAGGUGACGUCUUAUCCAUGGACAGAUGCUGUAAUUGUACCAUGUUUUAUCCUGGUUUGCUUCAUGUUGAGAAGAUGUAACAGCAUAAUAAUAUCAAUGUGGAUACAACAUAUCAAGGUGUAAUGGGUGGUGCUUGAAUUAGAACAUAUGUCAGCAAAUUCUAUGGCCUGUAGACUUCAUAUAUAUUGGUCAUUUUAAAACCUGUAGAAUUGGUUGUGUCCAAUAAACAUUUCAUAUUAGAGAUGUCUGAAGCUUCAAACGUACAUGUUUUUUUACAUCAAUAUUUCUAUUUGCAAUCCAUAGAAGUAACACUCUUAGUAUACAAUGCCAUUGCAUCCUGGUCUCGCAACCUUCGAUUUGUAGGUACUUGUGUAUAUAUUUAUCUCUUCAGCAGAGGAUGUCCAACAUGCUAUAAGUACUUAACCAUGUCGAGGUGGACAGUGGGUCAAGGGGCGUAACACUUCCAACAAGUGUUUUAAUAUUAAAGGGAAAAAUCGCAGGGGCUCAAGGGUGUAAGAGAUACACACACAAGAUGGUCUCCUUUCCUCAUAUAAUGUAUUUGCAUGCUCCUGCACCACCACCAGCAGCACUUGUGGUCGACGCGCUUGGCCAGCCCCGCCCGCAACAUCUCGCAGCUCGUCAAGACCAUCGCCGCACCUCCCUCGUCGACACCCUCGCCCUCGUGAGGAAGCUGGACGCCCGUCCUCCUAACCCUCACGUCCUCCUCCCGAGCCGCCCCCGCGUGGCGGCCGGGGGGAACUGUAUCCCGCUGUCGCCGCCUCCCCCCCUCUCCCCCUCCCCUCCCUCGCCGCUGCCUGGGGGCGCGGUCUGGCAAAGGCCGGCCGGCGGCGGCGGGGAUUCUUCGUCAUCUCACGCGAGGAGGUCUGGCGUGGGUCAUCUUCCUCGGGCCGGUGCACGGCCCUUUCGUCGGGGACCUCGAUGGCGGCGCCUGGCCUUGGCUCGGUGACGCCAUGACGAACGACGAGGUGGUGGAGUGCCCUGCCGGCGAUGGAGGGAGGAGUGGGGGCGGGCUGCAAGGGGAAACCCUAGGUCCCCUUCGCCUCUCGGCAGCCGGCGGUGGAGGGUUGGCUUUCGGCUGCGGCAGUGCCUAGGUUUGUGUGGUGUCUUUGGACUACGCGAUCUGCUUGGUGUCUCCGGCAGCAACCAUGGCCAUAGGAUGGUCGCCGACGUGGGGGCCCGACUUGAAUAAAGGCGGUAGUUCUAGGGUCUCUCUUGGGCGAAGAUGAAGACCUGCCGGAGGCCUGCCCUUCAUGAUCUGGCCGCAGUGUUGAGUUCCGGAAGGCGCUGCCGGCGAAUGUAACACUGCUUCUAUUGCCUGGAGUUUGCUGGAUCGGUGGUAUUCGGUCGUGCGUGCCCAUGCUUUUAUUCCGACCGUUUGGUUUUGGAGGGUGCUGCGCGAAGCUCUUUUCUGUGUUGACACCAAGUGACACCUGAUCCAUGGUGAAGUUAGAAGAGAAUAUCAUGAAGGCCGGAUUUGGAGGACUAGCUAAUGGAGGUUCAAGUCUUUGCGCUGUUGAGGGGCUUGCUUGGUGUUCCGUACUUCGCAACAGUGGUAUGAAAGUGGGGGGCGGCAACACAUGUAAAGUUUGGAGUCUUACCUUUCAGGGUGAAAACCAGGUCUGGUUGUGCCUAACAAUGUCCUUGUUGAAGGCAUUGUUUUGAGAGCGGAGACUAUCUUCAGGGUGAAAACCUAAGAUCUUUGAUCGGGCGACGACGGCGCUGGUGCACUGUUCCCUGGCGUUGCUUUUGAAGAGUCUGAAUUUUAGGUGUUGUCUUGGUGGUGGAUGUAUUACUGUUGCUAGGGCUGGGAUACUAGGGCUGGGAUAUUGUAGCGGAACUUUUAUUUCUUAGUUUUCUUUUUCUCUUUUUUGGCUGUGUGCAUCCGUAAUGUUAUUAGGACAUUGCGUUGUUGCAGAGGCUGGGUGUAAUUGUUAUCUUCUGAUAUUAAUAUAUUUCCUUCAUCGAAAAAGGUGAGGAAGCUGGAGUCGCUGGGUGUCUUGACCAAGCACGCGGAGGCGAUCACGACAGCCUCGAGAGCAUCUCCGAGUCCUUCGUCCCCAACGCCGAGAUGCAGAAGUGUGGGAUGCUGCAGGAUGCCAACAGCUCCAAGUUCAAGUCGCAAGUGCAGAGCUCACAGAGAGCUGAUUCAGAAACAAGAAAUGUGAAGACAACAACAGGGGAUGGAGGAUUCUCAAAGGACAACCAUCUAAAAGCAUCGGUGAUUAUUGAUGAUUAUGUAAAUAUGAUUCAGUUCAAGUACAAUUGAAUUUGCACAAACCGUGUAAUUGAUUAUUAUGUAAAUAUGAUUCAGUACAACUGAAGAACCCCUAUAUUUGAUUCAUCUUCUGCAAUUA